CAUCAUAGGGAGAAUUGUAAGACUGGAACAAUGCUCAGUUACUCCCUGUUUCCAGAGUAGAAGAGGAAAAGAGCUUUACCUAGAGCAAGAAAAUAGAAAAGGCUUUUUAGCACUGAGAAGUGUUCAUUCCUGGGAAAAGAAAGACAAAGAAUGGCUUAAUCACUGACUGUCAAAUAAAUGAAGGCCUAUCAACUGGAGAGAAACUGUUAGAUAAAAGAGAGAGAGAACUAAAACAAAAGAUCUACCCUAGAAGGAAGCACCAUUUUGAUUCUAAAGAUUGUGGGAGUCUCUUGGGGUCAUUGUUCUUGAAAAACUAUCUGUGGCAGUUCU
Molecule: long non-coding RNA, 330 nt
Filed under: Homo sapiens (human)
Lineage: Eukaryota; Metazoa; Chordata; Mammalia; Primates; Hominidae
Description: HSALNT0109639
Source: RNAcentral